GGCCGGUUGGCGCAAUGGUAGCGCGUUGCUUUCCGGCUCUGUCUGGCAAAGGUUGCGGGUUCGAGUCCCGUGCUGGUCG
Transfer RNA from Microdochium bolleyi, 79 nucleotides. It matches the Rfam family "tRNA". Rfam says of the family: Transfer RNA (tRNA) molecules are approximately 80 nucleotides in length. NCBI's taxonomy places the organism in Eukaryota, Fungi, Ascomycota, Sordariomycetes, Xylariales, Microdochiaceae. The record is from Rfam.